RNAcentral lists this long non-coding RNA (1397 nucleotides) under Marmota monax (woodchuck). The record is from RNAcentral. Lineage: Eukaryota; Metazoa; Chordata; Mammalia; Rodentia; Sciuridae.
CUUAGGCUUUGGGAGGAUGUGAAGAGGGAUAGAGGAGGAACAAAGUCCCCUGGAUCAUGUGGGCCAAAGACUUGAUAGGAUGGCAAUAUAACUCUGGGUGCCAGUGAAGCCAGAUUUAAAGUUAGGUAGUCAGUGUAGUUAGGUAAAUCGGGUCUAAUAUCGAGUAAGAUCCAAAAUGGAGGCCAUCUUUAGAAUGAAUUCUGGGAAAAGUUAAACAACUCUUGGAAUGUUAAUGAAGUCCAGGAAAAAUCCCAAGGCCAGAGCCCAUCCCAAAGAAGUGUUAAUGAACAGCCCCCAGCAAACAUGAAGAUAGCCCAUCCCAAAGAAGUAUUAAUAAACAGCCCCCAGCAAACUUGAAGGUGCUGACUCAGAAGUCCUUCCUGACCAGAUUACUUCUUUGGCCCACCUGUGUCCCACCCCUCUGGCCUUCCCACCUACAUUCCAUCACUGAAAGAACUAUAAAAAGGGGAAGCAACCGCACUUCCACGGAUUCCAUCUCUUGGGUCCCCUUCUUCCUCCGGGAGAAGUCUUUUCUGCUGUCCUUUAAUAAACUUCCAUUUUCCACUCUAAACUUACCUCGGCGUGCUUCUCUGGUAUUAUACUUCAACAAUGGGGAAGCAAGGACUCAUCACUGGUCAACAGCGGUAACACCAGGCCCCUGAGAACAUCCUGACAGGAAGGAAGCCUCCUGUUUGCAAUUUUCAGUGCCUGCCUGUAUUUAUUUCAACAGGCUCUAUUUUUCAUUAUUAUUUUAUAUUUAAGAGUGAUAGAUUUUACUUACGGUUAGUAAUACUUACCUGCUUUUAUUACAUUUGCAUAGCCUGGGCUCCAUGUGGCUCUCAGCUUCUCAAAUUGACAUAGAAUUUCCUGCCAUGAGAAAAGAAAGAAAAGUAAAGCUCUGCUAUUCAAGGUUCUCCCAACCUUGUCAGCUGAUGACCACAGUCAUACAUCCCCUAACCCAACAGGCCAUGGAAUGGACACCUCACAUAUCCACCGUAUUCCUUUCCCUGCUCCCCAGGGCCUCACCUCACCUUCUUCCCACCAGCAUCCUGGGACUAUGGCCCUGAUGGAGACAGGAGAAACCCCUGCAGCUUCUGAAGCUUCACUUCAUCUUCUGUGAUUGUGGGAACCACAAUCAGCUCACAGUGUCCUUUCUGGGGAGGGCAGAGGGAUCUCCAAGCCAAGGGAGAGGGAGGGAGGAGUAACUGUCAUGAUGACCUCCUACAGCCAUAUCAGUAGUGGCUCCAAGGCUUGAGCAGAUAUGGAGUGAGGAGAGAUGAGUCAACAAUGCAGUGUGUGCCUCCAAGGACGCUCCAGAUGCCAACAAGUGACUCUGCCUGUGGCCAGUGAGAAUGUGUGCUUUGUGCAUAUGUGUGACUGCAUGUGCUUGUGUGUGC